AUUGAACGCUGGCGGCAUGCUUUACACAUGCAAGUCGAACGGCAGCACGGGGGCAACCCUGGUGGCGAGUGGCGAACGGGUGAGUAAUGCAUCGGAACGCGUCCUGUAAUGGGGGAUAACCUGGCGAAAGCCAGGCUAAUACCGCAUACGUCCUGAGGGAGAAAGCGGGGGAUCGUAAGACCUCGUGUUAUAGGAGCGGCCGAUGUCGGAUUAGCUAGUUGGUGGGGUAAAGGCCUACCAAGGCGACGAUCCGUAGCGGGUCUGAGAGGACGGCCCGCCACACUGGGACUGAGACACGGCCCAGACUCCUACGGGAGGCAGCAGUGGGGAAUAUUGGACAAUGGGGGCAACCCUGAUCCAGCCAUGCCGCGUGAGUGAAGAAGGCCCUCGGGUUGUAAAGCUCUUUUGUCCGGAAAGAAAGCAUCUGGUUAAUACCCGGGUGUUCUGACGGUUACCGGAAGAAUAAGCACCGGCUAACUUCGUGCCAGCAGCCGC
Molecule: ribosomal RNA, 495 nt
Filed under: uncultured bacterium
Lineage: Bacteria
Description: bacterial SSU rRNA
Rfam family: Bacterial small subunit ribosomal RNA
Source: RNAcentral